GAAUAUAGCAAUGGCAAAAGAACUAGGUUUUGGGAAGACCACUGGUUCGGCAAUGCCACUUUAGCCACCCAAUAUUGGGACUUAUACAAUUUAGCUUAUGAACAUAAUGUCACUAUUGACAAAAUCUGGGAUGGACACAAUUUAAAGAUGACUUUCAGGAGGUGUUUUACUCAGGAACAAAUGGCUGGCUGGUUUGAACUUGUGGACAUAGCUAGCUCCAUUAGUUUUGUAAAUAAGGAUGACACCCCUGUUUGGAAUCUGAAUACUAAAGGGGUUUAUACUGUCAAAUCCUUCUACAAGUUUAUUAAUUUUAGAGGGCUCUUACCUACUUCCACUCCUGCAGUGUGGAGUAUAAAAAUUCCCCCCAGGAUUUAG
RNAcentral lists this ribosomal RNA (375 nucleotides) under Triticum aestivum (bread wheat). RNAcentral describes it as "partial small subunit ribosomal RNA". The record is from RNAcentral. Lineage: Eukaryota; Viridiplantae; Streptophyta; Magnoliopsida; Poales; Poaceae.